This is a small nuclear RNA of Microtus oregoni (creeping vole), 103 nucleotides long. Lineage: Eukaryota; Metazoa; Chordata; Mammalia; Rodentia; Cricetidae. The record is from RefSeq and is a predicted model, not a curated record.
UCACUUUAGCAGCACAUAUACUAAAACUGGAACAAUACAGAGAGGAUGAGCAUGGUCUCUGCACAAGGAUGACACACAAAUUCGUGAAGAAUUACAAAAAAAA